UUACCUUGUGCAUCUCCACCAGUUACAGAUACCACCCCUGGAUAGAGGAAGAGUACUUCUAGAGAAGAUGCCACAUCUACCUAUGAGACAGAUAAGGCAAGUCAAGACGAUACCACACUCCGGUACUUAGAAGUUUCGUGGUUACGAGAUCAUUAUCCCACAAUAUUUCCUAAUGUCAUUUGUACUAAAUCAUUCACUUGUACUCACUAAAGGAGAGCUUGAACCUAUGUACUUGUGUAAACCCUUCACAAUUAAUGAGAACUCCUCUAUUCUGUGGACGUAGCCAAUCUGGGUGAACCAUGUACAUCUUGUGUUU
Molecule: long non-coding RNA, 316 nt
Filed under: Malus domestica (apple)
Lineage: Eukaryota; Viridiplantae; Streptophyta; Magnoliopsida; Rosales; Rosaceae
Description: long non-coding RNA (MDOM_LNC000291)
Source: RNAcentral